RNAcentral lists this ribosomal RNA (515 nucleotides) under uncultured Entrophospora. RNAcentral's name for it is "SSU rRNA". It matches the Rfam family "Eukaryotic small subunit ribosomal RNA", at positions 569 to 1079 of the family's 1831-position model. Lineage: Eukaryota; Fungi; Glomeromycota; Glomeromycetes; Entrophosporales; Entrophosporaceae. The record is from RNAcentral.
AGCAGCCGCGGUAAUUCCAGCUCCAAUAGCGUAUAUUAAAGUUGUUGCAGUUAAAAAGCUCGUAGUUGAAUUUCGGGAUUGACGUGAUGGUCGUGCCUUAAGGGGUAUGAACUGUUGCUGUUGAUUUCUCACCUUCUGGAGAAACUUGAUGUCCUUAAUUGGGUGUCUUGCGGAUCCAGGACCUUUACCUUGAAAAAAUUAGAGUGUUUAAAGCAGGCAUUUUGCUCGAAUACAUUAGCAUGGAAUAAUAGAAUAGGACGGCAUGGUUCUAUUUUGUUGGUUUCUAGGAUCACCGUAAUGAUUAAUAGGGAUAGUUGGGGGCAUUAGUAUUCAAUUGUCAGAGGUGAAAUUCUUGGAUUUAUUGAAGACUAACUACUGCGAAAGCAUUUGCCAAGGAUGUUUUCAUUAAUCAAGAACGAAAGUUAGGGGAUCGAAGACGAUCAGAUACCGUCGUAGUCUUAACCAUAAACUAUGCCGACUAGGAAUCAGACGAUGUUAAUUUUUAAUGUACUCGU